Leptonychotes weddellii (Weddell seal) is the source of this 446-nucleotide non-coding RNA. NCBI's taxonomy places the organism in Eukaryota, Metazoa, Chordata, Mammalia, Carnivora, Phocidae. The record is from RefSeq and is a predicted model, not a curated record.
GGCAAAGCCCAGCCCGCCACACUCGGGGCCUCCGUCCCACCAGGAAAGUGCGUCCAGCAGCUGGAGGACUCAGGCCUGACGGGGCGGCCACGACCGAGCCGGCGGCAGGAGCCUUCCCAGGGGAGUAUGUCGUCAUGAUCCGCGAUGUGACCGACCCUCCCUUCCUGGGCCACACGCUGCCCACCGCCUUCAAACACCUUCGGGUCUUGGGGAAGGGGACGGACCAGCAGCCCCACGUCCCUGGAGAAGGCCCCGAACCCCCGAGCUAGGGGAACCACCCCCAUGCUCCUGACAGCCACCAGUAUGCUCCUCGGGAGACCGUCCUCACUUGGAAUGGAGAGAAGCCCCCUCUGCUCUGAGGAGCACCUUCCUGCACUUCCGCGGUGGGACUGAGUGCGGGCUGGAGGGCCCCCCUCACGCAUCCCAUGGCUUCAAUAAAACGCUCA